GACGAACCGUGCUAACGUUGUUCGGAAUCACUGGGCUUAAAGGGCGCGUAGGCGGUUUAUCAAGUCAGGGGUGAAAUCUUUCGGCUCAACCGGAAAAGUGCCUUUGAUACUGAUAGACUCGAGCGAGGUAGGGGCGGAUGGAACUUCCGGUGGAGCGGUGAAAUGUGUUGAUAUCGGAAGGAACGCCGGUGGCGAAAGCGAUCCGCUGGACCUCUUCUGACGCUGAGGCGCGAAAGCCAGGGGAGCAAAC
Molecule: ribosomal RNA, 250 nt
Filed under: uncultured bacterium
Lineage: Bacteria
Description: partial 16S ribosomal RNA
Rfam family: Bacterial small subunit ribosomal RNA
Source: RNAcentral